UGGAGAAGAUCCAACAUCGAGACAAGGCCGCAAGGAAUCGGAGGAGAACAAGCAUAAUAGAAGCAAGCUCAAGCAGCUCCAGGUAGAGCAGAGAUCACCCAAAACGAUCAAACCGAAGGGCAACCCCCGGGGACGAAUAGAUCUGAGUAUAUCUAGAUAGGAGCACCAAAAACAGAGCCCACCACCGCGCCGACCGCCGAAGGAACCACCAGAAAACCACGAACCCACCCAAAAGCAGCCACAGUAGCAGUAGACGAAAAACGUCCAGAAAUGAGCAAAAAGCCCAAGCAAUAUCACCACAGAGGGUGAGGCAAAAUCACCACCGAGGGUGAGGCUAAUCACCACAGAAGGUGAGGAGGAAACAGUCAAAGAGAAAGGGGCAAAACCAAACCAAGGAGAGAUUAAACGAGAGAAAGGAAGAGGAGGGAAGGGGAGGAGGGGCAGACCACCUCCCCCCCAGGAUGCGGCGCUGAAAGGUUGGGAGCGUUUAGGGUUUGAAAGUUUUUGCCCUCGCAAAGUUAAUGAAUGCGAAUGAAGAUCACAGCCAGCUUUCUGCUAUUGCAAAAAAUCUGAGAUUUUAAUAAGCCAUCGCAAUCUGACUAGUUACUUGGGUACUUAGAAAGCGCAUGGCCCGACUUGCCAAUGAGGUCGUUAAGCUCACCAGUUGCGUACAUUUGGGCAUCCCAUUGAAAGAGCCAUUUACAGGUCAUUCUAAUGUUGAGCUUGCUUUAGUUUAUAUGUGUUUUUGUCCUUUUCAGCUUUGUUAAACCCUGUCUUCAACUUUCAUUUCUAAUCCAUUGAUUAUCUAUGAAUUGUUAGGUUUUUGUUUCCAUUUGUUUAUUCAGUUGUUCUUCUUUUAUACCCUCUCAUUGGUUUCUGCUCCUGUGUCUUAUGAUUUUCCACUUCCACUUAUCACUCCCUUGUCAUACACACUUGCAGUACAAGAUAAAUAGAAUCUCAAGUUUGCCUUGUUCUGGAUGAUAAAUAGAAUUCUUUUAGUCAACUAAUGAGAUGGGGUGGUUAACAUUUAUUUAAGUGUGACUGGAACAGUUUUGAGUGAUGAAUUUUCCUAUUUUCACUAGGGAGCUGCCUUUGAAUUUGAUAUUUUCGGGAGUGAUUCGAUGCUUUUCUCUCUUUCGAAAACUUAACAAAAUUAAAUAUUCACAAUAUUCCCCAUCUUCUGUAUAAUAAAAAUGAUGAAACUGCUUCUACAUGUGAUUAUGAACUCCAACACAUCUUUUGUCCUUGUGGUUGUAAUAGUCAGCAGUUAAUGCACUUCUUUGCUGCUUUAGUGGAUGUUUUUUAUGCUUUACUUUCUCUCUGUUAUUGUGCUGAAGAAAAUAUGGAGGUUAAACAAGAAAAUGAUGAGAAUUUCAUUCCCAACUUACAUACUUCGACACAUCUGUCAACUUCAAUUUCCGGCUUGCAUCCAAAUAAGAAAGCGAAAAAGGAUCCAUUGGCACAAGCAAUUGGUGAGGCGGCAGACUCACAAAAGGAGUUUUCGGCAAGUCAAAUGAACCGCAACUCAGAGGAGAGGAUGUACUUGCAGUGGUCUCAAAGAUACCGAACCUCAGUAGAUUGCAAGUUUUGAAGGCCAUACACAUGUUAUUGAAUACUAAUCCAGAAGAGGUCUUUCUACUCAAAUAUCUUCCUGAUGAUGAGAAGACAGAGUGGAUAAUACUGCUUAUUAGUCAAUCCUGGGUCUAACUUUCUUGAUAAAUGAUACUGAGCCAAUUAUUUCUCAGGGGUUUAAACUUUUGCAUAGAGAGUCACUUAUCAGCAUUUACUCUCUCUCUCUCUCUCUCUCUCUCUCUCUCUCUCUCAUUGAUCCAGUAUUAGGAGUGAUCUUGCUUUUUAUUCUUUUCAUAUACAAUAUUAUUUAUAUCCUUUUAUGUCCUUUUACACACACUGAGCUUCUUGACAUGUUAUGGGCUUUUAAUCA
Molecule: non-coding RNA, 1942 nt
Organism: Prunus avium (sweet cherry)
Lineage: Eukaryota; Viridiplantae; Streptophyta; Magnoliopsida; Rosales; Rosaceae
Source: RefSeq, a predicted model, not a curated record